UACGUAGGGUGCAAGCGUUAAUCGGAAUUACUGGGCGUAAAGCGUGCGCAGGCGGUUGUGUAAGGCAGAUGGGAAAUCCCCGGGCUCAACCUGGGAACUGCAUUUGUGACUGCACGGCUCGAGUGCGGCAGAGGGGGAUGGAAUUCCGCGUGUAGCAGUGAAAUGCGUAGAUAUGCGGAGGAACACCGAUGGCGAAGGCAAUCCCCUGGGCCUGCACUGACGCUCAUGCACGAAAGCGUGGGGAGCAAACAGG
Molecule: ribosomal RNA, 253 nt
Filed under: uncultured bacterium
Lineage: Bacteria
Description: partial 16S ribosomal RNA
Rfam family: Bacterial small subunit ribosomal RNA
Source: RNAcentral